This is a long non-coding RNA of Monopterus albus (swamp eel), 588 nucleotides long. RefSeq lists it as uncharacterized. Lineage: Eukaryota; Metazoa; Chordata; Actinopteri; Synbranchiformes; Synbranchidae. The transcript is spliced from 4 exons. The record is from RefSeq and is a predicted model, not a curated record.
CUGCAAGAGGCUAUAAAAGUCGAGGUAUGAUUGUAGUAGAAUUUCAUGAUGGACGAUGGGUCGGUGCCUGCUCUGCUGCUACUCAGAGGGGGAACCAAGGAGCUGAGAAUGUGGACAUGCAAGGCUGUGAUGGGGAAGUGUCAUCUCAGGGAAAAAAUUGUCCUAACCAAAGGAUAGAGGGCCUGUGGCUUGAUGUUUGGGAUGUCACAUCUGUUGGAUGUCCUCCACAGCCUUGAGGAAGACGGAGCGCUGGCUCAAACUGUACUCAUCCCCUGCUCCAAGCUGGGCAUAUCCUGAGGGAUGGAACAACCUUCAUUUCAAACAUGACACAUCACACCCCAAACCAGCUGUGGGGAAACUGGUUUGACUGUCCUGUCAAGCCUACUGAGGACGUUAAGGCAAGACAGAAAACUGUGCAGGGGGCCCAAAUGUGGACAUGGAUCAUGCUAGAGUACAGGCACCAGAACUGGCCUCCUCCCUGUACACUGAAGAACUGGAAGCCCUGACCCCAACAUCUUCAAGAGAAUAACCAGAUAGCUUUAAAGUUGUAGUGACUUUAUUACAAUAAAAUACAUUUAAGUGUGCAGA